GACGAACGCUGGCGGCGUGCCUAAUACAUGCAAGUAGAACGCUGAAGGAGGAGCUUGCUCUUCUGGAUGAGUUGCGAACGGGUGAGUAACGCGUAGGUAACCUGCCUGGUAGCGGGGGAUAACUCUUGGAAACGAUAGCUAAUACCGCAUAAAAUUGAUUAUUGCAUGAUAGUCAAUUAAAAGGUGCAAUUGCAUCACUACCAGAUGGACCUGCGUUGUAUUAGCUAGUUGGUGAGGUAACGGCUCACCAAGGCAACGAUACAUAGCCGACCUGAGAGGGGGAUCGACCACCCUGGGACUGGGACACGGCCCAGACUCCUAAGGGAGGCAGCAGUAGGGGAUCUUCGGCAAUGGACGGAAGGCUGACCGAGCAAAGCCGGGUGAGGGAAGAAGGGUUUCGGGUCGGAAAGAUCUGUUGUAAGGGAAGAACGAGUGUGAGAGUGGAAAGUGCACACUGUGACGGUAGCUAACCAGAAAGGGACGGCUAACUACGUG
This 495-nucleotide ribosomal RNA is filed under the name uncultured bacterium. RNAcentral describes it as "partial 16S ribosomal RNA". It matches the Rfam family "Bacterial small subunit ribosomal RNA", at positions 28 to 507 of the family's 1533-position model. The record is from RNAcentral.